RNAcentral lists this ribosomal RNA (372 nucleotides) under uncultured organism. RNAcentral's name for it is "partial 16S ribosomal RNA". It matches the Rfam family "Bacterial small subunit ribosomal RNA", at positions 527 to 896 of the family's 1533-position model. The record is from RNAcentral.
GUAGGUGGCAAGCGUUGUCCGGAAUUAUUGGGCGUAAAGCGCGCGCAGGCGGUUCUUUAAGUCUGAUGUGAAAGCCCACGGCUCAACCGUGGAGGGUCAUUGGAAACUGGAGAACUUGAGUACAGAAGAGGAAAGCGGAAUUCCACGUGUAGCGGUGAAAUGCGUAGAGAUGUGGAGGAACACCAGUGGCGAAGGCGGCUUUCUGGUCUGUAACUGGCGCUGAGGCGCGAAAGCGUGGGGAGCAAACAGGAUUAGAUACCCUGGUAGUCCACGCCGUAAACGAUGAGUGCUAAGUGUUAGGGGGUUUCCGCCCCCCUUAGUGCUGCAGCUAACGCAUUAAGCACUCCGCCUGGGAGUACGGCCGCAAGGCUG